RNAcentral lists this unclassified non-coding RNA (240 nucleotides) under soil metagenome. RNAcentral's name for it is "partial contains 5.8S ribosomal RNA, internal transcribed spacer 2, and large subunit ribosomal RNA". The record is from RNAcentral.
AACCAUUCUCACCUGCGGCUAGACCUGCGGAGGGAUCAUUACCGAAGUUACUCUUCACCAAACCCUUAUGUGAACCCUACCUCUCGCCGCGCGGUUGCCUCGGCGGGGGAGGUCUGGGGCGCCGUGGGGAAGGGGAGGCGCCGUCCGCGGCCUCUCCCCCUCCCGGCCCGCCCCCGGCCCCCCGCCGGCCGCGCCCAACUCUUCUUCUGCAAAGCGGACUGCAUGCUCUGAUUACACUUG